This 245-nucleotide ribosomal RNA is filed under the name uncultured bacterium. RNAcentral's name for it is "partial small subunit ribosomal RNA". It matches the Rfam family "Bacterial small subunit ribosomal RNA", at positions 26 to 285 of the family's 1533-position model. The record is from RNAcentral.
AGAAUCAACGCUGGCGGCGUGCCUAACACAUGCAAGUCGAACGAGAAAGUGGAGCAAUCCAUGAGUAAAGUGGCGCACGGGUGAGUAACACGUGACUAACCUACCCUUGAGUGGGGAAUAACUUCGGGAAACCGAGGCUAAUACCGCAUAAACACCUACGGGUCAAAGGAGCAAUUCGCUUAAGGAGGGGUCGCGGCAGAUUAGUUAGUUGGCGGGGUAAUGGCCCACCAAGACGGUGAUCUGUA